UACGUAGGGUGCGAGCGUUAAUCGGAAUUACUGGGCGUAAAGCGUGCGCAGGCGGUUUUGUAAGCCAGGUGUGAAAUCCCCGGGCUCAACCUGGGAAUGGCAUUUGGGACUGCAAGGCUGGAGUGCGGCAGAGGAGACUGGAAUUCCUGGUGUAGCAGUGAAAUGCGUAGAUAUCAAGAGGAACACCUGAGGUGAAGACGGGUUGCUGGGCCGACACUGACGCUGAGUGCGCGAAAGCCAGGGGAGCAAACGGG
This 254-nucleotide ribosomal RNA is filed under the name uncultured bacterium. RNAcentral's name for it is "partial 16S ribosomal RNA". It matches the Rfam family "Bacterial small subunit ribosomal RNA", at positions 524 to 776 of the family's 1533-position model. The record is from RNAcentral.